CAGUAGCCGCGGGAAUACGUAGGUGGCAAGCGUUGUCCGGAAUUAUUGGGCGUAAAGGGCUCGCAGGCGGUUUCUUAAGUCUGAUGUGAAAGCCCCCGGCUCAACCGGGGAGGGUCAUUGGAAACUGGGAAACUUGAGUGCGGAAGAGGAGAGUGGAAUUCCACGUGUAGCGGUGAAAUGCGUAGAGAUGUGGAGGAACACCAGUGGCGAAGGCGACUCUCUGGUCUGUAACUGACGCUGAGGAGCGAAAGCGUGGGGAGCGAACAGGAUUAGAUACCCGUGUAGUCCCUGUCUCUUAUAC
RNAcentral lists this ribosomal RNA (301 nucleotides) under uncultured bacterium. Its description in RNAcentral is "partial 16S ribosomal RNA". It matches the Rfam family "Bacterial small subunit ribosomal RNA", at positions 509 to 807 of the family's 1533-position model. The record is from RNAcentral.